GGGGUUGUGGCUCAGUGGUAGAGUGCUUGCUUCGCAUGCAUGGGCACUGAGUUCGAUCCUCAGCACCACA
RNAcentral lists this transfer RNA (70 nucleotides) under Marmota monax (woodchuck). RNAcentral's name for it is "tRNA.Ala". It matches the Rfam family "tRNA". Rfam says of the family: Transfer RNA (tRNA) molecules are approximately 80 nucleotides in length. Their secondary structure includes four short double-helical elements and three loops (D, anti-codon, and T loops). Further hydrogen bonds mediate the characteristic L-shaped molecular structure. tRNAs have two regions of fundamental functional importance: the anti-codon, which is responsible for specific mRNA codon recognition, and the 3' end, to which the tRNAs corresponding amino acid is attached (by aminoacyl-tRNA synthetases). tRNAs cope with the degeneracy of the genetic code in two manners: having more than one tRNA (with a specific anti-codon) for a particular amino acid; and 'wobble' base-pairing, i.e. permitting non-standard base-pairing at the 3rd anti-codon position. The record is from RNAcentral. Lineage: Eukaryota; Metazoa; Chordata; Mammalia; Rodentia; Sciuridae.